UUUUAAUUGUUAUAAUUAAUUUAUGACUAAUUAAUAUUUUAAUAAAUAUUAUUAAGUUUAAUUCUAGCUUGAAAUUUAAUUUAUUUAAUUAUGACCUAAAUGGAAUUUUUUAUAUGAACGCAGUAUUUAAUAUUAUUAAUUAAAAAUUUUAGAAAUAGUAAUUUAUUUGAGAAAAGACAAAGAUUUGUGCCAGCAGUCGCGGUUAUACAAUUUUUUCAAUUUAAAUUUAUAAAGUUUCAGUUAAUAUAAGAAUUUUAUUUAAAUGAAUAAUAAUUUUGGUGAAAUAAUAUUAUUAUUAUAUUUUAUAUAUAUAAUGCCUGAGAAAUUUUUGCUUAUAAACUAGGAUUAGAUACCCUAUUAUUGAAAAUGUAAAUAUUGUACUUGAUUAUUAUUAGAUAUGGUCUUAAAAUUCAAAGAAUUUGGCGGUAAUUUAUCUUGUCAGAGGAACUUGUUCUAUAAUCGAUAAUCCACGAUAGAAAUUACUUUAAUUUAAUUUGUAUACCGCUGUCAAGAAUGUUCUUUUAAGAAACUUUCUUUAAUUUUAUUUUAAAAAUAAUGUCAAGUCAAGGUGCAGUUUAUAUUAAAGAAAGAAUGAGUUACAUUUUAUUAUUAAUAUUAGAUUUUUCUUUUAUAUAAGAUCAUGAAAUUGGAUUUGAAAGUAAUUACUAAUUAAAUUAAAUUUUCUGAAAUAAGCUCUAAAUUAUGUACAUAUCGCCCGUCAUUCUCAUUCUAAGAUGAGACAAGUCGUAACAAAGUAGUUGUACCGGAAGGUGUAGCUAGAAAAAAAAAUU
RNAcentral lists this non-coding RNA (791 nucleotides) under Cryptotympana atrata. Lineage: Eukaryota; Metazoa; Arthropoda; Insecta; Hemiptera; Cicadidae. The record is from RNAcentral.